AUUCUGAGAAAAUGCAGACCUUUAAUAUAUAAUCUAACUCUCUGCCUGAAAUGAUUAAUGUGGUUGCAUCUCAGAUGACAAGCCGUAAGUACUAAGUUCAGUAAACUUGCUCAGGCUUCUGCUUUUCCAGUCUCCACAGUAAUACACAGAAUAACUAUACAACAGUGAGCUGAGCAGCAAGUUAGGGAAGUCUUGAUUGUACAGACAUUGAAACUGCUCUGUAGUAAUAAAUUCAUGAGCAAUGAGGAUACACACCAAGAAAUUGGACUUCUCCUAUGCACUAACGUAGCGCUGUUUUCAGUGCUGUUGUCAGAUGGCAAAUUUCCUCACGAAGUGGUUCGAAACAAUGUCAAGUCCCAUAGGACACUGAAGUAAGUGUCAUCUCCAAUUCGAAUGAGAUGCCUAAACUUUGUUAUGCUGCAAUCACAAAAAGACGCUGGCUGUUAAAGACGCACUCCAUAUGGCAGUUGGAGAGAAGCAGCACAAACUUCAGCUGGUCUGAAGACAGAGUCUUCGGGGGAGGAGGCAGCUCCCACAAUCACGCCGAAGAACAUGCACAAUGAGAUACAGGCUGAAGGUGCAGGGAAGCAAGAAACCUGCCACAUCCACCAUAAGAACAGCUCAGCGUGAGUACUGAAAAGCCCUGCACCAUCAUGUACUGCUGAAAGAUGGACAGAUCUCUAUUUAUUGUUCCUUGUUACCAGGGAAGAGGUGCAAGGUAACUGAACGUGGAUAUGGAGAAGGGAAUCUGAUACAUCCUGGUGGCCAAGGCCUGCCCCCUCCUGUCUGAGUGAGGACAACACCUGGGACCCUUGUCAUUCCUCCUGUUCCUUUGGCUCCUGCUACCCAUAAGGCUCUGGGUAUACUUGCUGAUCGUUCUCUAGCACUGACAGCUUUCUGCAUCACAAGAUUGUGCAGUGUGCAGCACAUGAUGGUAUUUGUUUGGUGUGAUCUGCAGGAGGAUCCCAGAUGGAUUCAAGCAAGGAAACUCACCUCAAGAAGUCAGUGAUAUUUGUCAUUACUUUCCUGGUAUGUGCAAAUCUCUCAUUGUAUCUGUGGCCAGCUGGUGAGGUUGGAGUGCUCACCGAAUUGAGGACACCUUGAGGAGAAGGAAGCCUCUGUUCCCCUGGAUCUGUUAACCAGUGAUAACUCAGGCAAUUGUAUAGCAGCAGCAUGGACUCUGUAAGAAUGAAGGAGUCAUGUGUGCUUCCUGGAAAUCUCAUGAUCACCCAAAUUAUGACAAAACUCUUCUCAUGAUUCACAACUCCUUGCUGAGGGAGUGGAAGCCAUUUUUGUUCAAGAAAACACCCAGUUUAUUAAGGGGUAUUCUUAUUGGCACAACAGUGAAGUCGGUCUAAAGCCCAUAGAGAUGGCAAUUGGGCAAUAUUAUUUUAUGAUUCUGUUUCUAGCUGUUGUAUUAAUGUAUGUCCUAUUGAAGACCCAAAGUUUCACUGUUAAAAACACAUUAAGACAAAGAAGUGUAAUGUUUUUCACUACCACUCUAAUUGCUCCCAUUGAUCUAACUGGCCUUACCCUAACAGAGAUAUUCCCCCGAUCUACACACUUCUCCCCCUUAGUUCUCUGUGACUGAAAACUAACUUAAUUUUCAAUCUUUCCCACUUCUGACAAAGGCUCCCUGCAACAUUAACUGUUUCAGAAGGUGCAGAAGGUUGUAAAUCUAGUCAGCUCCGUCUUGGGCACUAGCCUACUAAGUACCCAGGACAUCUUCAGGGAGCGGUGUCUCAGAAAGGCAGCGUCCAUUAUUAAGGACCUCCAGCACCCAGGGCAUGCCCUUUACUCACUGUUACCAUCAGGUAGGAGAUACAGAAGCCUAAAGGCACACACUUAGCAAUUCAGAAACAGCUUCUUCCCCUCUGCCAUCUGAUUCCUGAACGAACUUUGAAGCUUUGGACGCUACCUCAUUUUUUUUUAAAUAUACAGCAUUUCUGUUUUUGCACAUUUUUUAUAAUCUAUUCAAUAUACGUAAUUGACUUACUUGUUUAAUAUUAUGUUUUAUUUUAUUUAUUAUUUUUUUCUCUCUCUCUGCUAGAUUAUGUAUUGCAUUGAUCUGCUGCUGCUACGUUAUCAAAUUUCACAUCACUUGCCGAAGAUAAUAAACCUGAAUCUGAUCUGAUCAAUGUCCACAGAUGCUGCCUGAUCUGCUGAGAGUUUCCAGCAUUUUCUGUUUUUACAUUUGAAAAGGGAUUGUUUUGCAUUAUUAACUUUGCUAGGCACUUGAAGGAUAAAUUGCAGGUGGAGAUGAGACCAAGCUGAAGAAUUCCAACUAUUGCAGAAGGGAGGAAUGGGAGGAACAGAGAGAUGUGAAGAGCACUUGUAGCUCUAACUGCUCAGGUGCUUCACCUAUUCACGUAACUAAGACUAGGAAAUGAGGAAACUAUACAUUCUCAAAGAGAUCUCAGAGAGGAAAGACACCACUAGACUGCAAUUGCUGUCACAAUUGUACCUAACUUAUGCCAGUGGGAUUUUGCUGACUGAUGCAUGCACCAUAAUCUAUAUGCCACAUAAAUGGAGAGGAGAUUGAUUUUCUUGCAGCUUCACAAGCUCUAAGAAAUGGUCAUGUGCAUUUUCCCUAUGACUGGAGGUGACCCGAACGAGAUGCAACAGAAUUGUGCAAGAUUAUAGAAUUUUCCCUAAACUGGAAGGCCGCUGACUGUAGACAACAACUGUACGCGUGUGGCCAUGCAAACCCUUCAUUUAAGCAAAGGAGUUUUCGAAAGAAGGGGAGGAUUCUACUUCCUUUAUAGCAACUAGUGAGUCCUGAGUAGCAGUGCAUCAUGCAGGCAUACUCAGGCAUUGGUUGCAUUGCUUUCAUUAAUCUUACAGCGUUCAAUUCCAGAGCAAUGCAUAUGGACAUGUUCAGGAUGACAAGGGGUGCUUCUGACGUAAUUGCUCUUCAAACCCAGAUUCUUCCAUGUGCUUCUCCCCCACAGGCAUGAUGUGAAUGUUUCAGAUCACCUGUCCAUUUUAUUUUUGCAUGUUUUGUUCACCAAAUCCAUCUUUUUUUUAUGCUCAGACAGGAAAAGCCCUCAUCCAGCUCCAGCAGAAAUGUUCAGUGCACUGGAUUCAGCACUAAACAUAAUUACUCUGGUGCAGAUUCCACCAAGUUCACAUCAGUCACAUCCUUGUCUAGUAAGGGAAGUGGUUAGCUCACAGCAAAACUCAGCUUAAAGACAUAAGAUAUUAAAAAAUUAAAACAACAUGUGCACUUGCAAGCAGUAAUAUAAAAGUGAAUGUGCUUGGGUACAUAAGUGACCCCAGCUCCACAUAAACUGUGAACCUCACUGUAAAAUAAAUGAACAGGCAAUUGUAGGUGUCAAUAUAUAAUAAAUAGGAGUUGUGAAGAAGAUCCUUCUUCAACAGACCUGCCCGCUUGGUCUCUUUUGCGCACAUAAAACAAGGUUAUUUCUUUUAAGUUUCUGUUUGAUCGACUUGGCACACACCACAUGCUGUGCUGGAAGCUGGAGAGUUGGUGGGAGAAAGCUAAGUGCAAGCAGUAGGUGCAUAAUAGCUUGUUUCUUCACUAUUGUUGACUGUUUAUAAUUUUUAACACUUGAUGAAGGUUUCAAUUCUCUGUGUUUUUAAGAGUGAAGAACAACUGUAAAGGAGUGACCCUUUAUAAUCAAAGGACUUCUGCUGAGUGAUAUACUCCUCCAUAAAUAUUUGCCAUAUCAUUUCAACUAAAUGUCUAACAGGAGAAUGGAAAUGAUGCUUUGGAUAUCUACAUCUGUUAAUAUGAAAAAAUGUGUCUAGAAUUAUUUCAGCUCAUGGGUCUCCCAGCUGUAAUUCAAUGACAGAGGCAUUUCAGAAGAUUGCCAAAUAUUUUUCAUGAUUAUCAGAGGAAUCAUUGUAUAAAUGGAGUUCACUGAGAGAUAUAGAACCCGGAAUGGUUAUUUUACAACACCUGGUUGGUUUUUCAGUUCUAAUUUACUCCACAAACCUUUAAUGAAUUCACUGCUGUUUAAAGCAAAGCAGAAAAUAGCAAUAGUGAUAUGAGAUAAAGAAACAAGAAUGGAUGCGCUGGAAGAGUUUUACAAAAGCCAGGUGAUGAAACAUUAUUUAAAUUAGGACUGGAGAGGAAACAUUAUUAAAAUGAAGACUGGUGAUGAAAGAUGAAUGCUGGAGAGACUGGAAGCUGAAACAAAACCCAGAAUUGCUGGGAGUACUGAGGCAGAUUUUGGCAUGAGGGAAAGUGUAACUGGUUCAUGUCACUCACUCACCAUUCAUCUGGCUUAUGAAGAUUACAAAACUCCAUAAUCACUAAUCACCAAAUCAGAAUCAAAAUCAAAAUCAGGUUUAUUACCACUUACAUAUGUUGUGAAAAUGGCUGUUUUGUGACAGCAGUACAGUGCAAAAUAUAAGCAUUACUAUGAAUUGCAAAUAAAUAAACAAAGGCAGAAUAGGAACUAAAUGCUGCCUGCCUUCUGUUGGACAUCUUUGUUCACAUAUUAUUGUAAAGAUGGAUGUGUAUGCGGUCAUCUCGGUAAGAUGGCACCAGCAAUCAAUGCAAUUUACAGCAACGUCCUGCAGACAGUUCACAAAAUUCCUUCUUUUUUUAAACAUGCUUCAGCUACUGAACUGUAUGCAAUUGGAGCCAGUAACUUACAUUUUGAUAAUGCGUUUUUUAACCCAACCAAGCAACCUGCUGCCUCCAAGGAAAUUUGACGUGAUUGAGAGCAAGGUUGGGAAUGGAAUUUGCUGCCUAAUUGGCAAGGCACGAACCCAUGAUCAGUUCCAAUUCUCAACCAACUGGCCCAUUAAAGCAUUGAGCAUGAUUGAAAUCACUGAGGACGAGAGCGGAAGGUGAGUCGGAGUUCAAUGCCGUCUACCUGUGUUUGACCAGUCUCCCUCAUCCUCACUGAUGCUGGAGGAAGGUAUAGGAGUCUUGGGUCUUGGGCAAGGUCUGAUCUGCGCAUUUUGUGGAUUGGGCUAAUUUUUAUGGGGCUCAGCAUUACAUGUUAUACGCAUUUUUGGUUUCUGAUUAUUCCUUUUCUAUUGCGACUUUGCACAAUUUUGAUUGGGGCAGACUGGCUCUGUGGCCUGCAGUCAAUGAAUGACACAAUGUUAAAUUGAACUGAACUGCACUAAACUGAAUAUUCCUACACUGCUUCAGGGCCUCUGUCAUUUGAUGUUUGACAUUCUGUGUAUUAUUUGCUCAUUUUAUUGUCAUUUGCGUGAUUCAUUCUGUUUUUUUUUUGAGCAUUGGGUAUUUGAUGUUUUCUUUGAAUGGUUCGAUGGUGGUUCUUUGUUUUGUUCCUGUCUAUUAAGAUUAAUUGUUGAACUGGUUUAUUUUCAGUGCCUAAGGAGGGGCUUGAUAUAUUUAAUAACUAUGACUAUCUGGUAGAUUUUCUUCACCCUGAGAUCAGCCCUCACUUGCUCUUCUGGGAUCGCGACACAUUGGGUGUUGGUCUUUUUUUUAAUUGGGUUUCUUGCUUUCUGGCUGCCCGUAAGCAGACAUAUCUCAAGAUUGUAUAAUGAGUACAUACUUUGAUAAUAAAUGUACUUGAAUCCUUUGAAGGUCCCAGGUCAAGUCCCACCACAUGAGCCUGGCUGUCUGCAGCAUAACAUAAGGUAGGUUCCCUUUCAGUCUAAGUAUCUGUCUGUGGUGCCAAACAAUGAGGCACAAUCCAGAAUCAUGAACUUUCAAAGCUGUCAAUGAAAUCUAAUAUUUCUGAUUAUAGUACCCCUCAGCCAUUAGGCUCUUGAACCAAAAGGAAUAACUUCACUCAACUUCACUCACUCCAUCACUGAACUGUUCCCACAACCUAUAGACUCACUUUCAAGGACUCAUCAUCUCAUGAUCCUGAUAUUUAUUGCUCAUUUAAUCAUUAUUAUUUUGUUUGGUUUUUUUUCUUUUUCUAUUUGCACAUUUUGUUGCCUUUUGCACAUUGGUUAUUUAUCCGUCCUGCUGGGUGCAGUCUUUUAUGAAAUCUACUGCAUUUCUUGGGUAUGCUCACAAGGAAACAAAUCUCAGGGUUGUACGUGGUGAUAUAUAUAUCUAUAUAAAUACAGUGGUAUGCAAAAGUUUGGGCACCCGUGGUCAAAAUUUCUGUUACUGUGAAUAGUUAAGUGAGUAGAAAAUGGACUGAUCUCCAAAAGUCAUAAAGUUAAAGAUGAAACACACUUUUCAACAUUUUAAGCAUUAUUUUUGUUAUGUACAAUUGUAGAGUGAAAAAAAGGAAAGGAGCACCAUGGAAAACUUUGGAUACCCCAAAAGAUUUGAGCUCUCAGAUAACGUUUACCAAGGUCACAGACCUUAAUUAGCUUGUUAGGGCUAUGGCUUGUUCACAGUCAUUGUUAGGAAAGGCCAGGUGAUGCAAAUUUCAAAGCUUUACAAAUACCCUGACUCCUCAAAACCUUGUCACAACAAUCAGCAGCCAUGGGCUCCUCUGAGCAGCUGCCUAGCACUCUGAAAAUUAAAAUAAAUGAUGCCCACAAAGCAGGAGAAGGCUAUAAGAAGAUAGCAAAGCGUUUUCAGGUAGCCGUUUCCUCAGUUCAUAGUGUAAUUAAGAAAUGGCAGUUAACAGGAACAGUGGAGGUCAAAUUGAGGUCUGGAAGACGAAGAAAACUUUCCAAAAGAACUGCUCGCAGGAUUGCUAGAAAGGCAAAUUAAAGCCCCCAUUUGACUGCAGAAGACCUUCAGGAAGAUUUAGCAGACACUGGAGUGGUGGUGCACUGUUCUACUCUGCAGCGACACCUGCACAAAUAUGACCUUCAUGGAAGAGUCAUCAGAAAAAAACCUUCCCUGCAUCCUCACCACAAAAUUCAGCGUCAGAUGUUUGCAAAGGAACACCUAAACAAGCCUGAUGCAUUUUGGAAACAAGUCCUGUAGACUGAUGAAGUUAAAAUAGAACUUUUUGGCCACAAUGAGCAAAGGUAUGUUUGGAGAGAAAAAGGGUGCAGAAUUUUGUGAAAAGAACACCAACUGUUAAGCAUGGGGGUCGAUCGAUCAUGCUUUGGGCUUGUGUUGCAGCCAGUGGCACGGGGACCAUUUCACUGGUGGAGGGAAGAAUGAAUCCAAUUAAAUACCAGCAAAUUCUGGAAGCAAACAUCACACUGUCUGUAAAAAGAAGCUGAAGAUGAAAAGAGGAUGGCUUCUACAACAGGAUAAUGAUCCCAAACACAUCUCAAAAUCUACCUCAAGAGGCACAAGCUGAAGGUUUUGCCAUGGCCCUCACAGUCCCCCGACCUAAACAUCAUCGAAAAUACGUGGAUAGAUCUCAAAAUAGCAGUGCAUGCAAGAUGGCCCAAGAAUCUCACAGAACUAGAAGCCUUUUGCAAGGAAGAAUGGGCUAAAAUCCCCCAAACAAGAAUUGAAAGACUCUUAGCUGGCUGCAGAAAGCAUUUACAAGCUGUGAUACUUGCCAAAGGGGGUGUUACUAAGUACUGACCACGCAGGGUGCCCAAACUUUGCUUCGGGCCCUUUUCCUUUUAAGUUAUUCUGAAACUGUAAAAGGUGGAAAUAAAAAGGUAAUCUUGCUUAAAAUAAUAAAGAAACGUGUCAUCUUUAACUUCAUGCCUUUUACUUGCUUAGCUAUUCAUGGUAACAGAAAUUUUGACCAGGGGUACCCAAACCUUUGCAUGCCACAAGUGUGUGUGUGUAUAUAUAUACACACACACUUAGAUAUUAAAUCUACUUGAAACUUCAUAUUUGAUAUUAACAAGCAUUCUAAAAUAAUUAUGAAAUAUUAAAAUUUUAAAUGAUGUAACAAUGCAAAUUAAAGCACAACCACCUCAACUUACUGACUAAAAUCAAGGAAGAUGGAUCAUGCUGUGGACAUCUGUUUCUUCUCAUUGAUUUCAAUGCGUCUGCUGUGCUGGUGCUGUGGUUAAGGUGGUGUAGUGUGUGGGAUUUUAAGCAUUUCUGAUGGACUCCAUGUAGAGUACAUAGGCAGAGCACAGAGACAGGCAACGGCAAAGCAGCAUGGCAGAAGCUACUAUUGCUGACUUCAACCUACAACAGCACUGCAUUCAAGACUUCCUCAAAGAAAUACAAAUAAGCCCUGGCAGAAAACCCGUGCCUCAGAAAAUCUAUACCAUUGUUAAAAAAAUGUCUAUAUCAGUAACUACUAAACUUAGUUCUUUGUAGCUCUUUUAAUUUGUACCUGUCACACACAUAUAAAAAAUUCUCUUCAUUCAAUGCAUUUCAAGGUUGAGGCAGCUUCAUUUUUGUGGAAGUGUUUUGAGAACAGAGCAGUGUUACAAUGCAGACAGCAACUUUAGAAUGUUAAUACUUAAUUGCACACUCUGUUUUCUUGAAUUUUCUGUGUCUAUUUACACAAAAUUUUGGGCAAAUAUCUUAAGCUUCGACAUACCUUGAAAGCAAAAUCUGACCCAGUACCUGUAAUAAUAAGCAGCUGUUUUUUUUUUACUUUCCUUUCCCAAUAUCUUGAAAAUGUGUGCAAAAUAGAGAACGUAGCUAAUCCAUAUUGCAUCUACGCUGUAGGUGAAACAAUACCACAUACAGAGGAUCUAAAUGCAAAAUAGCUUUCUCUAGCAGAUGUCACUGCCAAACCCAGAAAUACAACACUGGCUACCAGAGGAAAAAAAAUCACAUCACUCAUUUUGUAGAAGCAAGCUGAUUAGUAGCACUUCUUUGUUCACCCUUAGUCAAACGGGUGUUAUUUGCAGAGCCUCAUAAUUUUAAGAUGAUGACAAUUUGCUUCCCUUACAAAGGAGCAAAACAUCUUUUAUUUUGCAAAUGGUCUCUGCUCAGCAUCUGUGUCAUGAAGUUAUGAAAUUAUCAAUCACAGAAACAAGCACUUUCAAGUCAAAGUCAAUUUAUUAUCAAACUACUUAUAUGUUAACAUAUAGUACCUUGCAGGCAUUUACAGGAAAAAUAAAUAAAAUAUAAUUUAUGAAAACUAUGCAUUGACAAAGGCUGUUAAAUACUAAUGUGCAAAAGAAGGCAAAUUAAGCAAAUAAAAACAAAUACUGAGAACAUGAGUUGUAGAGUUAUUGAGAGUGAGUCUGUAGCUUGUGGAAUUAGUUCCGAGUGGAGUUAUUCAUAUCAGUUCCGGAGCCUCAUUAUUCUGGGGUAACAACUGUUCCUGAACCUGGUGGUGUGGACCCUAUGGCUCUGGAUGGCAGAAGCAAUAAGAGCAUGGUCUGGAUGUGGGGUCCUCGAAGUCGGAUGUUACUUUCUUGUGGCAGUGUUCCAUGUAAUUGUUCUCAGUGCUGGGGAUGGCUUUGCCCAUGAUGGACUGGGCUACAGUCACCACUUUCUGUAACUUUUCUGUUCCUAGGCAUUGAUGUUCCCAUACCAGGCAGUGAUGCAACCCACUAAGCCAGCAUUCAUUAUCAGACACCCACCAAUGCAAGUCAUAUUUUAUUCUCCCCACGUUGUCAUUUUUUCUCUCUCAGGUUCUGCCACUCUGAUAGACAUCAAUUUAUAAUGAACACUUUAUAUAUCAACUCAUAUAUCUUUGGCACAUAGGAGGAAACCAGAGCAAAGAAAACCCAUGUGAUCACACAAACUCCACACUGGCAGCACUGGAGAUCAGGAUUGAACCCGUCACUGGAGCUGUGUGACAGUAGCUCUGAUGGAAAUGGCACUGUGCUCUGCCUUUGCUGGCAAGACAAAGUUAAACACUUGCAAACUUUCAUUUCCUGUAGAACUAUCACAAUAUUUCUUUCACUGACUUUCAAUUCAUUUUGAAAAAUACAUUGUUAUUAAUAAAAAUGUGCAUUAGUAUAUGACAAAACCUCUUCCUAUUGUGAAUCAGUUUGCUACAGUGGACAGAACCUACUGAACUGUAGAUUUUACUGGUCUAAGAUAAACUGACAUCGGUACAUAUAGUAACUGUUUUUUCAGCAUCAAGGCCAAAAAAAGGAUGGCAUAUAAUCCAUCAGCAAAAAUCAAAAACAGGGUUAUCCACUAUCCGUGCUUGAUAGCAUGUGUAAAUCCAUUGUCCUCUCCUUCAGAUUCCUUCCUCUCCAGCCCUUUAUCUUUCCCACCCACUUAUCACCUUCUUGCUAUCCUUCUUCCCCUCUCCCCACCUUUUUACUCUGGCAUCUUCCUGCUUCCUUUCCAGUCCUAAAGAAGGGUCUCAGCCUAAAAUGUUGACUUUUUGUUCACCUCCAUGGAUGCUUCCUGACCUGCUGAGUCACAACCACAGAUUUAACAGCGCAGUAGAUACAGCGUGUGGCCAAGUGGUUAAGGCAUUCGUCUAGUUAACUGAAGGUCGCAAGUUCGAGCCUUGGCUGAGGCUUGCGCGUGUGUCAUUGAGCAAGGCACUUAACCACACCUUGCUCUGUGACGACACCAGUGCCAAGCUGUGUGGGUCCUAAUGCCCUUCCCUUGGACAACAUUGGUGGCGUGGAGAGGGGAGACUCUCCACCAGUCUUUCCAAUCUUUCCAAGGUGCAAAUCCAUGGACUAUCGAGACUAAUGGAGGCCUACCACAGAUACAGCAAUUGCGCUUGUGAAUUUGAACCUGUCAGCUAAUUAUAAUUUAAUUGUGAUAGUAUUUAACUCCAUGCUUGUCGUCGUAGUGCUUGUCGAGACUUGGACAGAGCAUAGCAAUGCUUCACUGCUGUUCUGCAUUCUGCUUUCCCUGAGAUAUUGAACCUUCAAAUCAACUGAAGCGGUACUCGUUUAGUAUUUAGAUGUUCUUUUCAGCCGCAGUGUAGGCUUCGUUUUUCUUUGAGAGUUUUAGUUAACGGCCCUGUUUGGCCUAGUGUUCAUUGUUUUAUUUUCCCUUUAACACUCUUCGUAUUAAAGUCCGUGAACUAUCGACCUGCCUCAGUGUCUCUCACUCUGCACUUGGGCCAUAUCCGAACCUGGUAACAUGCUGAGUUCUUACAGCAUUUUGUGUGUGGUACAGUAAAUAGUACAUCUUACUGGAAUAGCAUUAACUGGGAAAAUUAAGCAAGUUUGGUUCAUGUAACACAGUUCUCUUUGAACAUAGAACUAUUUAGCAUCGGGAUGUGAUGCUGAGGCUCUAUAAGGCACUUGUGGGACCACAAUUGGAGUAUAGUAUGCAGUUUUGGGCUCCAAUAUUUUAGAAAGGGUAUACUGACAUUGGAGAGAGUUCAGAGAUGAUUCACGAGAAUGAUUCCAGGAAUGAAAGGGUUAGCGUAUGAGGAACAUCUGGCAGCUCUUGGCUGUAUUCACUGGAGUUCAGGAGAAUGAGGGGGAAUCUCAUAGAAACAUUCCAAAUGUUAAAAUGCCUGAACAGAUUAUGUGAAGACCCUUCACAUGUCCGAACAGAUAUGGCAAAGUUAUUUCCCAUGGUAGGGGAGUCUAGGACAAGAGAACACAACUUCAGGAUUGAAGGACAUCCAUUUAGAACAGAGAGACAGAGAAAUUACUUUGGCCAGAGGGUGGUAAAUCUGUGGAAUUUGUUGCCAGGAGCAGCUGUGGAGGCCAAGUCAUUGGGUAUAUUUAAUGCAGAGAUAGAAAGGUUCCUGAUUAGCCAGGGCACCAAAUGGUAUGGGGAGAAGGCAGGGGAGUGGGGAUGACUGGAAGAAUUGAAUCAGCCCAUGAUUGAAUGACAGAGCAGACUUAAUGGAUUGAAUGGCCUACUUCUGCUCCUACAUUUUAUGGUCUUAUGUCUUACAUUACAAGCCCUUCAGCACACAGUGCUGUAUCAAACCAGUUAAAUUAGUCAUCAAAUGGCUAACUAAACUAAUCUCCUCUGCCUACACCAUGUCCAAAUCCUUCCAUUUUCCUCACGUUCAUGUGACUAACUAAACAUCACUUAGAAGUCCCUAAUGGUUCUGCCUCUGCCACCACUCCAGGCAACGCAUUCCAGGCACCCACCUCUCUGUGGAAACAAACUUGCUCCUUGUUUCUCCUUUGAAAUUAGCCCCUCUUACCUUAAAUGCAUGGCUUCUGGUAUAAAAUAUUUCAACACCAGGAAAAAGAUACUGUCUGUCUAAUCUAUCUGUGCCUCUCGUAGUCCUAUAACCCUCUACUAGGUUUCUUCUGUUCCGGAGAAAACAAUCCAAGUUUUUCCAACCUGCCAUCAUAGCACAUGCCCUCUAAUCCAGGCAACAUCCUCGCAAACAUCUUCUUUACCCUCACCGAAGCCCCAGCACCUUUCCUGUAAUGGGGGUGACCAGAACUGUAUGCAAUACUCCAGGUGUGGCCUGACUCGAGUUUUAUAAAGCUGCAACAUAACUUCCUUGCUUUUGAACUUAAUGCCUCAAAUAAUAAAAGCAAGCAUGCCAUUUGCCUUCCUAACCACUCUAUCAACCUGUGUAACUACUUUCAAGGAGUUAUGAACUUGGACUCCAGAAUUGCUCUGCUCAUCAACAAUUAAGAGCCUUGCACUUAAAAGUGUAAUGUCUCUAUACAUUUGACUUACCAAGGUGCAACCAUUCACGUUUGGGCAGGAGAAACUCUAUCUGCCAUUUCUCUGCCUAUAUCUGAAACUGAUCUAUAUUCUGUUGUAUUCUUUGCCAGUCUUCUAUACUAUCCCACAACAUCUUCAUAUCAUCUGCAAACUUACUAAUCCACCCAUCUAUUUUCAUCAUUUAUAUACAUCACAAAGAAUGGAGAUCACAGAACAGAUUCCUUUGGAAUACUACUAAUCACAGACCUCCAGCUAAAGCAAGUCCCUUUGACCAACACCUUCUGUCUUCUAUGGGCAAGCCAGUUCUGAGUACAAGUGGCCAAUCCAACAUUGGCCCCAUGCAUCUAAAUCUUCUGGGUGAGCCUCCCAUGGGGGCCUUUCUCAAAAGCCUUAUUAAAAUCUGUGUAGACAACAUUCACAGCUCUACCUUCAUCAAUCAGCCCUGUGACUUCAUCAAAAAAAUCAAUCAAGUUUGUAAGAUGUGUCUUGAUCUGCACAAAGUCAUGCUAGCUCUUCUUAAUCGGGUCAUGGUUUGCCAAAUGCUCAUAAAUUUUAUCCCUAAGAAAUCUCUCCAGUAACUUCUAUGAGUACAGACCAGUCUAUAGUUUCCAGGAUUAUCCCUGGUUCCCUUCUUAUCCUCCAAGACCAUGCCUGUGGCGAGAGAGAACACAAAGAUAUCAGUCAAGGCCCCAGCAAUCUCUUCUCCUGCCUCUUUCGAUAACCUAGGGUAUAGCCCAUCAGGUCCAGGAGACUUAUCUACAUUAAUGCUUUAAAGAGACCCAACACUAUCUUCCCCUGUACCUUGAAAUGACCUAACAUAUCAACAUGCUCAGUAUUGAUCUCCCUAACUUCCACAUCUUCUCCUUGGUAAAUACAGAUGUAAAGUACUCAUUAAGUACCUCACCUCAUCAUCCAUAUCUAAGCAAAUGUUCCUCCCUUUAUCCUUGCGUGGUCCUACCCUCUCCCAAGAUAUCCCUUUAUUCUUGACGUAUGUAUAAAAUGUCUUAGAAUACUCUUAAGUCCUACUUACAAAGGACUUUUCAUGGUCUCUCCAGGCUCUCCUAAUUCCCUAUUUAAGUUCAUUUCUGGCUUCUUUAUAACUCUCAAAGGGUGUUUGAUUCUAGCUUCCUAACCUUUACAUACUUCUGUUUUGCCUUCUUGACUAAGUUAAUCACCUCUCUUGACAUCCAAAGUACUCUUUCUUUACCAUCCUUGUCCUUCCUUCUGAAUAGAACAUACCUCUCCUAUACUGUGUGCAGUUGGUCUUUAAACGUCAGAUGUGGACUUGCCCAAAAACAGCUGUUCUCAAUGUACUCUCCCUAGUUCCUGCCUAAUGCUCUUGUAAUUUGCCCUACUCCUCUUCAAUACUCUGCAAAAAGACCCAUAUGAAACACUCUGGGUUCCUUGCCUGCGUAAGUCUAGGAAAGACCAUCGCAGGCCCCACCAGACAUGUCAGAUUGAGCCGCAAGCCCACCCCAAAACCCCAUUUGUGUGGAUGCUGUGUGAUUCGUUGCCCUGUUACAAAUAAGUGCUACAAAAUAACAGACAGUGCACCACAUACAAUUAAAAGAUUUAGCUUUAUAACUCUUAAUUUGACUAAAGGGUUAGUAAAAAAAAACAAGAAAAGGACACAUGUUAAUGAAAUAGUCCAAUGUGCACAAUUUGGAGCGCUCAGUUUCCCUGUCGCUAAUCCUCCAUCGAUCACCCAGACUUCUUCGAAUCACAGCCCCACUCUGGGUCAAAUGCAAUGACCUCUUCUCUCUUCCUCUCUCCAUAACCAAAGCCUCAAGCCCAACCUUAAUGUCCCUCACCAGAGAAACCUCCCCUUAAUCUGACCAUCUUAAUUGGAUGGCACACAAUUCUCCUUUCUCUUAUCUUCAACAGUAACCCAAACAUAAGGGGAAACCAAGCAGCUGACACAGACCAGCACAAAAUGAAAUGCAGAACAGCAUAAUAGUAAACAUAUAUGAACCAGGGCAUUACACAUACUUAUCCUUAUCUAUAGCUAUCUUAAAACUUGGGAGUUGUGGUCACUGUUUCAUCCACUGAAAGCUCAGACACCUGACCAGGCUCAUUACCCAACAGUACAGCCCCUAGUCUUGGUGGAUAAGCUUCAUAUUAAUUUUUAAAAAAACCUUCCUGAAAGCACCUAACAAAUUCUUCCACAUCUAAACCUCUUGCACUCAGAAAGUCCCAGUUUAUAAUAGGGAAGUUGAAUUCCCCCAUGACAUCAACCCCGUUGUUUUUACACCUUGACUGAAUCAGCUUGCAUAUAUGUUCCUCAAUGUUCCAGUGACGAUUGCAAGGUCAAUAGUACAAUUCUAUCAAAGUGUUUGCACCUUUCCUAUUUUUGAGUUCUACCCAUACUGACUCUGUGGACGAGUCCCUCAUUAUGUCUCCCCUGAGAGCAGCUGUGAUAUUGACCCUGAUUAGUGGUGCACCCCUCCCCCUUUUUUUUUACCUAUCUUCUCUAAAACAUCAAAAUCCUGGGAUAUUAAGCACCCAUUCCUGUCCCUCUCUCAACCGUGACUGUAAUGGCCACAACAAUGGAAUUUAGAAGAAUGUGGGGGGAUCUUAUUGAAACCUACCAAAUGCUGAAAGGACUAGAUAGGGUGGAUGUGGAGAGGAUGUUUCCUAUGGUGGGGGAGCCUAGGACCAGAGGACACAGAUAGAGUGGAUGUGGAGAGGAUGUUUCCUAUGGUGGGGGUAUCCAGAACUAGAGGGCACAGCCUCAAAAUUGAGGGUCGAUCUUUUAGAAUGGAGGGUGAGGAGGAUUUUUUUUUUUAGCCAGAAUCUGUGGAACGCUCUGCCACAGACUGUGGUGGAGGCCAUGUCUGUGGGUUAAUUUAAAACAGAAGUUGAUCGUUUCCUGAUCGGUCGGGGCAUCAAAGGAUAUGGAGAGAAGGCAGGUGUGUGGGGUUGAGUGGGAUCCGGGAUCAGUCAUGAUGGAAUGGCAGAACAGACUCGAUGGGCUGAAUGGCCUACUUCUGCUCCUAUGUCUUAUGGAACAUCAUAGAUCCAUGUACUCAUCCAUACUAUAAACUCAUCACCAUUUCCUAGCAUUAAAAUACACACCCUUCUAACUAUCCAUCCUACCAUUUCCAAUACCUUGCUCCUCCCUGUUUUUACAGCCUCUGACAUCUACAAACGUACCUUUCUCUCCAUCCCUCCAGUUUCUGAUCUGGUGCCCUGGUUCCUAUCCCCCUGUGAAACUACAAACGUUUGUAGGUUAAACCCUCCUGAGUAGCUCUAGCAAACCUCCUGCCCCAGAUGUUGGCUCUCCUCCAGCUUAGAUGCAACCCAUCCUUCUUGUACAGGUCUCCCCUUCCCCAAUAAAGGUUCCAGUGCUUUAAGAAACUGAAACGCUGUCCCUUGCGCCAAUUUCUCAGCCACUCAUUCAUCUGUAUGAUCAUUCUUUUCUUGCCCUGAUUAACACAUGGCACAGGGAGUAAUCCAGAGAUUACUCCAUGAAGGUCCAGUUCCUCAGCCUCUUCCCUAACCCCAUGUACUCACUGCAUAGGACCUCCUUCCCCUUUCUACUUGUGUCAUUUGUGUCAGUGUCCACUGUGACCUCUGGCUGCUCAUAUUCUCCCUCGUGAAUAUUCUGCAGUCACUCUUGGAUCCAAGCACCUAGGAGGCAAUACAUUACCUUGGUUUCUUUUUGUGGCCACAGAACCUCCUGUCUGUUCUCCCUAUCAAGCCGCCUAUCACUAUCGCUCUGCCUGACUUUACUCUUCCAUGCUGAGUCUCAGAGCCAUUCACAGUGUCACUGGCCUGGUUGUUGCUGUUGUGCUCUAACAGGUCACUACUCCCCAGCAGUAUCCAAAAGGGUAUACUUGAUGCUGAGGCCAAUGGCCACAGGGGAACCCUGCACCAAUUACUUACUCCCCUUAUUUUUCCACCUGGUCACCAAUUUACAAUCUGAAGCCUGCGCUCUGGGUGUGAGCAUUUCCAUAGAAGUUUCAGCUCUUCGUUUUUAGCCUCUUGUUUGGUCCUGAGUACAACCAGCUCCAGCUCCAGUUUUUUGACCUUGUCAGUCAGGAGCUGAGGUUGGGUGUGCUUCCUAUGGAUGCUAUCGUCAGGGAGUCCACUACAGGAGGAGCUUUCCACUGCCUUAACCACCAUCCUGCCUACAAUUGUUAUACCUUUGACUCUAACUUCUCAAGCUUAAGUUGUACAAUCAAAUAAAUGACUCCUUUUCUCACAAAGCCUGACCAUUCUAAUAGUGGCCCACUCUUACAAUGGCUGCUCCACUUAUCCUUCACUUCUUUUUAUUGCUAACUUACUAACAACACAAGCAAACUUCCACUCUGUAGACGUUCUGACAGGCCCUACUCACUUAUUAAAACUGAUGUGUAAGCUCCACAAGGAAUUGUCUCAAACAUUCCUCUUGACUUGAAAAUUAUGGGAUCAAUACCAUAGCUAGGACGUUGAUAGGGGCUGUGAAUACAAUAAAUAGUGGGGACCAAAAUCAUUACAGCUGGAUGUGACAAACGCGACACGACAAAAUUAAAGCAUUGUUUCCGAAUUGUCCUUAAAAUUCAGUUUCAUGUUCCAGUCUUGAGGACUAAGGCAAAAGUAUAUGUUACCAAAUCUUCUAGGUUAUGCAGAGAUCUUCAGAUUCCCACAUGGAAACUGUCUCCCUGACACCUGAUUCUCCCCUGCAGCCAUGUUAGUGAACUGGAAAUCCCACCAUAACAUCACAGUAUCAUCUCAAAUGAGGUCUAUCCAGACAUGCUAUAAAGCAUUACAUUUUCAUACUGAGACAGGCUGGUCAUCAAGAUGGUCCUCUUCAACUGUUCUUAGAAUUGUAAGCUCUGCAAAACAAUAAACAAAAUUAGUGAGGAAAGGUUGUGGGCUCAUUUCCUCUGGAUGAUACAUGCCCACCAUUUAUGAAUAACCUGUGGUCAUUUUAAUGUAAAAAUUAACAAUAAAACAUCAAACAAAUGUCUUCUUACUCCCUUACAUUCUCCCUUUUGAAAUAGGAAGUGGGAAAUACACAGUGUUGAUUUACACAACAUGUUUACAUUUCACAAGAGUAUCCCAAAAGAAGGGUUUGUUACCUGUGCGUAGCCUACCCUCAUUUCCUAAAGCGUGGAAGAUGAUUGAUUUGCCUUUGGAUCUGGCAGAAAGUUGACAUGGCAUGCCAUUGGUAUCAAACCUUCCUCAGUACUGAGCCAUGCCCACAAGUAAUAAAGGAUGGGAUCUGAAACACAAGCCCGUUUGACCACUCCCAAAUUCAGGCUGUAAUAACAACAUUUGACAUUUCAAAAUCUGAAAGCCCCUCUAUUUCUUCCACUGAAAGUCCCCAUUGUCUGGUGGAAGUGAGAGAUAACUAGCAUCACUACUCCACAGAUCUUAAUGCCUGAAAUACUUGUGGCUUUUUGCAACUGUUACUGUUUUCAUUCGGAAGCUGCUAAGUACUUACAGUGUUUUCUCUUCUUAUUUUCAUUCGAAAAUGUUUUGUGCCUCAAAUGGAUUCUGUUACCUUAUAUGAGUGAUAACCACCAAUCUGGCCACAGUAACCUAAGAUCCUAUUUGUUACACAGGCAGCUUCAGUGUGACAUUGUUAAUCUUUCAAAAUUCUGGAUGUAAUGCAUCUGCAGAUUUAUGAACUUUAUGUACUCAUUAAAAGAAUUCAGAAUCAGAAUCACAUUUAUUAUCAAUGACAUGUGACAUGAAAUUUGUUCUGCAAUAAAGACAUAAAAUCUAUAAAGGACAAAAAUAAAUAAAUAUUGCAAAAAGGGAUUGUGAGGUAUUGUUCAAGGGUUCGUGAACCAUUCGGAAAUGCGAUGGUGGAGGAGAAGAAACCGCUUUUAAAUUGUUGCAUGUGGGUUUCAGGCUCCUGUACCUCCUCCCCAAUGGUAGUAAAGACAGGAGGGCAUGUCCUGAAUGGUGAGGGUCCUUAAUGACGUAUGCUGCCUUCUUGACGCACAUUCUUCUGAAGAUGUCCUUGAUGGUGGGGAGGAUUGUGUCGGUGAUGGAGCUGGCUGAGACAAUAACCCUCUGCAGUCUCUUGUAAUUCUGUGUAUGGGAGGCUCCAUACCAAGCUGUGUUGUAACCAGUCAGAAUGCUCUCCACCAUAUAUCUACAGAAGUAUGCAACAGCCAUUAACAAUUCCCUCUAACUCCUAACAAGGUACAGCCACUGCUGUGCCUUCUUGCAAUGGGCUAGUUCCUGAAACGUUCACAACCAGGAACUCACUCCUCGCUGCCACUGACCCCACAAAUUUGGAUUUGUGUUUUCUCCCAACUUCUCCUUCCUGAAGUUCAUAAUCAGUUCCUUGGUCCUGCUGACAUUGAGUAUGAGUUUCUUGUUGUGACACCACUUAAGCUGUUCUAUCUCACUCAUGUGUGUGCCCUUAUCGACAUUUGGGAUUCUACCAACAACAGUAGUCUCGUUGGUGAAUUCAUAGGUGGUGUUUGAGUUGUGCUUAACUACACAGACAUGAACAUAGUGAAAGUAGAGCAAUGAGCUAAGCAUUCAUCCUUAAGGAAUGGAUGAGUUGACCAUCAGUGAGUAGAAGAGGCUAUUACCAAUCCAUAUUGACUGUGGUCUGUUGGUAAGAAAGUCAAGGAUUCAGUUGCAAAGGGAGAGUAAGAGGCCCAGGUUUUGAAGUUUGGGUAGUACUGAGGGAAUUGAUAAAAAAAAUAGCUUGAUGUAUUUCUUAUGGUUGCCUGGGUGCUCCAAAGCACAAUGGAGAAUUAUAGUCUGUUGAUGAAUGGAGUGAUUUCUAUCUACAGCUAACUCCUGUUCAUUGUAUAUUUAUGAAUCUUUGUCAACUAGCAGAAGAAUCUAAGCAUAUUAAACAAUUUCAUAUUUUUCAAAUAUGUAAAUUUGAAAGUGGUAUGUCUGGUUCCAAUAAAAUUUGCAUUUUUGUGCUGCCUCCAGUUUUUUGUUAGGUUAUUUACAUUUAUACACAAGGGCAGUGCGUUCGCAGCAUUUGAAGAUGCGAUAUUUCAAGUGAUGAUUGGUACAGUCAUUCAUUUGAUUUAUUUUUGCUCUGUUUUACAUUAGUACUGUUUAGCGUUAAAGUAUAGAACUGCACUGUGAAACAUUACAGUUUGAUAGGGUAAGGAGAUGAUAUGUUUGUGGCAAUUUACUUAAAGAUUUAUGCAUAAAAUAUUAGUGCGUGAUGUAAAAAUAUGCUUUUAUAUUCUCAUGCAACUAGCAUAUUCAUGCAACCGGCUCUCUAUUCCCCACGGAUGCUGGAUGGUUGAGAGGAUUCUGUAAUAGUUUCUGCAUUGAAUUUUCACUGAUCAGAUGUUCUGUGGUUACAUAAAAAGUAAAGUAUUCUCUGUUUCAGAUAAAACACCAGAAAAGUAUGGACAACUACAUCAAGGUUAAUCAUUCCAAUCUCCACUUCAAACAUCUUGUUGCUUUUCCUAGUGAGUUGGCAAAUUACAAUUUAAUUAGAUUAUAACUUUGAAAGAACUUCCAUCCAUUAGUCUGUGAUUCUUUUGAACCAAGAUUCUAAAAAUGUUGUAAUACAUCACUGAAUCAUUGUGCUCAUCUCUCCCUCUCUCUUAGGCUCUGCCUCGGAUUGCAAAAGGGCAUAGAGAAGUUUGGAAAAUGCCUAUACUUGAUUUUUUUUUAUGUGCAAUGGCUGUUGCUCAAUACAAUACAAUAUUUAACAAUGUUUGCUCCAUUAUUAAGGAGAUCCAAACCAAUUAAGGAACAGAUUUGUUGUAUGGAAUUAAACAUGCAGACAUGAACACAUACAAAUUUGAGGCCUAAUUAGGUUAUUGGGUUCCUUAACGACAUACAUAUAAAUAUAGUCUAUCAAAAUGCGUGCACACACACACACACACACACACACACACACACACACACACAAUCUGUAAGCCAGCUUGACCCUCUAAAGACCCAUUCUACACAACAUUGUUGUGCCCUUCUCACUUCACACUUGCUUCAAUGCAUUUUUAGACAUACUCUAUCAAUGAAAAAUUCAACCUGAUGUUUGAACAUCAGAGGCGUACAAGACUCCCAGCUCAUUAAUUUACAGGUCGAGUCUGAGGUAAAGAAGGCAAAUGCAAUGUUGGUAUUUAUUUCAGGGGAAUAGAAUAUAAAAGCAAGGAGAUAACUGCUUGAUUAUCAAUGAGAUAAGCAUUGAAAAAUUCUACUUCUUUUUAUAUUUUAAAACCAUUCAACCUAUAAUAGGCACCUUCUACCCACUUCAAACUGAUUUUGUGCUAUCACGAUCCAUCUAAACCAAUCAAGAUCCAUUACCCUACUUCAAAUACACUUCAUUCACUCCAGAUACUUAAUACUUAUUUGACUUCUCUAUAGUAAUACAAUUCUAAUUGAUUGAGCUUUCAUUAAAAAGAAUUAAAAGUUAUAAAGUUAGGCAUACAUUGAUGAGGACCGAACUUGAUCAAGGGCUGCUUCCUCAUUCUAUAUUUUCUUCACUGUACGAGGGAGUAAUGACAGAGAUCUUGAUGUAGUAGCAGUUACAUGCCUUUGAGGCAUUUACAAAAUAUAAACAGUUCUGCGGUGGCAUAUCUCACAUUUGUUCAGGAAAAAUCAGAUAAGCAUGAUGAUACACAAUUCACAAACAAUAGUUAUUACCUUUGAUCUGAUUGGAAAGAGGAACAUUCAGCUGUUCAUUAGGACAUGAACUUCUCAAUGAUAAUUCUGCGUUCGCUUUGUAGUGCCAAUUUUCAAAGAAAUUUCCUGUAUGUAGUGUUAUUGACAUCUUUUUGUUACAGUACCAAACCAAAUGACAUAAACUUUGAAGAAUCCAGUGCUGGUGGUGUUCAGGUACCUAUACCUUUGGACUGGUUAUGUUACAUGCCUAAAAUUCAUGCUGUGCCCAUGCUCACUGCAAAUAAAAUGUGCACUAAAGACUACUGCUUAAUACUGUGAUCUCAUGACAAACUGAUUUAUAAAACAAAUUGGCUAUAUUUUCCUGCAACAGGCAGAUAAAAAUUUUUGAUAAUAUUUAAAUUUGUAUAUGUUUGGAAUGUUGAUUUUUUUUGGAUGGCAAGGGAACUAAGUGAACAUGGCACCAUAAAAUUACCCCAAGGAUUGUGAAACUAACAUGACAAGAAAUGGAAAUGAAGCAUAAACUAGUUCUGGUGAUUUCAAUAUGAAUCAGGAAUAGAAAAAUAAAACGGGCAGGAAUAAGAAAGACGAACAAACAAAGUGAGUAUUGAAAAAAAAUCUCCAGGUAUGUCUGAGAACCAGGAGAUUGUUAAUGAUUGUUUGGCACACCAAAACAGUUUCACAAUUAAUAUAGAAGCUCCUGAAG
This is a long non-coding RNA of Hypanus sabinus (Atlantic stingray), 21566 nucleotides long. RefSeq lists it as uncharacterized. The record is from RefSeq and is a predicted model, not a curated record. NCBI's taxonomy places the organism in Eukaryota, Metazoa, Chordata, Chondrichthyes, Myliobatiformes, Dasyatidae. The transcript has 3 exons.